Long non-coding RNA from Mauremys reevesii (Reeves's turtle), 390 nucleotides. RefSeq lists it as uncharacterized. The transcript has 2 exons. The record is from RefSeq and is a predicted model, not a curated record. Lineage: Eukaryota; Metazoa; Chordata; Testudines; Geoemydidae.
CACCACCACCAUUUCCACAAACCUGCCGCCCAUGCGAGCGGUGAACUAGCUAGUUACAUGCAGUGCUGCCAAUUCAAUCAUUGUCCAGCCUGCCCUGUAAGCUGAACAGCCCCUCUGAUUGCAGUUCCUGGGGGAAACGCCAUCGGGGCCAAGCUGCAGAGCCGGAGUGAGACAGAUUUCUAGUGCCCCCGCCGCAGGCUCUACCGGCAAUCACCAAAGAGCAGUUAUGGAGGAAGCCGAGACCAAGGAUGCACUGAUCAGUUUGCAGAAAUGGAGUUUCACUGACUAUUUGCAUUCCGGGCCUUGCAAAGCCGGAUUUAACCCGACACCAGUUUACUCCACUGGAGGAUCUGGUCCACACACCCUAACGGGCAAUACACAGAGCUGGCG